RNAcentral lists this ribosomal RNA (465 nucleotides) under uncultured Klebsiella sp. Its description in RNAcentral is "bacterial SSU rRNA". It matches the Rfam family "Bacterial small subunit ribosomal RNA", at positions 338 to 795 of the family's 1533-position model. The record is from RNAcentral. Lineage: Bacteria; Pseudomonadati; Pseudomonadota; Gammaproteobacteria; Enterobacterales; Enterobacteriaceae.
CCUACGGGUGGCUGCAGUGGGGAAUAUUGCACAAUGGGCGCAAGCCUGAUGCAGCCAUGCCGCGUGUGCGAAGAAGGCCUUCGGGUUGUAAAGCACUUUCAGCGGGGAGGAAGGCGGUGAGGUUAAUAACCUCAUCGAUUGACGUUACCCGCAGAAGAAGCACCGGCUAACUCCGUGCCAGCAGCCGCGGUAAUACGGAGGGUGCAAGCGUUAAUCGGAAUUACUGGGCGUAAAGCGCACGCAGGCGGUCUGUCAAGUCGGAUGUGAAAUCCCCGGGCUCAACCUGGGAACUGCAUUCGAAACUGGCAGGCUAGAGUCUUGUAGAGGGGGGUAGAAUUCCAGGUGUAGCGGUGAAAUGCGUAGAGAUCUGGAGGAAUACCGGUGGCGAAGGCGGCCCCCUGGACAAAGACUGACGCUCAGGUGCGAAAGCGUGGGAAGCAAACAGGAUUAGAUACCCCUGUAGUC